RNAcentral lists this ribosomal RNA (398 nucleotides) under uncultured bacterium. RNAcentral describes it as "bacterial SSU rRNA". It matches the Rfam family "Bacterial small subunit ribosomal RNA", at positions 29 to 418 of the family's 1533-position model. The record is from RNAcentral.
ACGAACGUUAGCGGCGCGCUUAACACAUGCAAGUCGAGCGAGAAAGGGCAACCCUAGUACAGCGGCGCACGGGUGAGUAACACGUAGGUAACGUACCCCUGGGCGGGGGAUAACUCUCCGAAAGGAGAGCUAAUACCGCAUAGGACCACGAGCUCGAAAGGGUUUGGGUGAAAGCCGGCCUCUAUACAUACGCUGGCACCUGGGGAUCGGUCUGCGGCCCAUCAGCUAGUUGGUAGGGAAUGGCCUACCAAGGCGAAGACGGGUAGCUGGUCUGAGAGGAUGAUCAGCCACACUGGAACUGAGACACGGUCCAGACUCCUACGGGAGGCAGCAGUGGGGAAUCUUGCGCAAUGGGCGAAAGCCUGACGCAGCGACGCCGCGUGAGUGAUGAAGGCCUU